Molecule: ribosomal RNA, 312 nt
Filed under: Triticum aestivum (bread wheat)
Lineage: Eukaryota; Viridiplantae; Streptophyta; Magnoliopsida; Poales; Poaceae
Description: partial small subunit ribosomal RNA
Source: RNAcentral
AUGAUUUGCAUAGGCCAACAGUAUGCGUAUGGCUUCAAGCCUAGCCACAGGAGCAAACGUUUCAUCGAAGUCAAUGCCUUCCACUUGAGUAUAUCCUUGAGCAACGAGACGAGCUUUGUUUCUGACAACUUGACCAUGCUCAUCUUGCUUGUUGCGGUAUAUCCAUUUGGUGCCUAUUAUGUUGUGCUUCCGUGGAUCAGGACGCUUAACCAGUUCCCAUACAUUAUUCAGCUCAAAUUGUUGAAGCUCUUCUUGCAUAGCUUGAAUCCAUUCAGGUUCCAUGAAGGCUUCUUCAACUUUCUUGGGUUUUGA